CCUACGGGAGGCAGCAGUGAGGAAUAUUGGUCAAUGGACGAGAGUCUGAACCAGCCAAGUAGCGUGAAGGAUGACUGCCCUAUGGGUUGUAAACUUCUUUUAUAAAGGAAUAAAACGAGGCACGUGUGCCUUUUUGCAUGUACUUUAUGAAUAAGGAUCGGCUAACUCCGUGCCAGCAGCCGCGGUAAUACGGAGGAUCCGAGCGUUGUCCGGAUUUAUUGGGUUUAAAGGGAGCGUAGAUGGGUUGUUAAGUCAGUUGUGAAAGUUUGCGGCUCAACCGUAAAAUUGCAAUUGAUACUGGCAGUCGUGAGUACAGUUGAGGUAGGCGGAAUUCGUGGUGUAGCGGUGAAAUGCUUAGAUAUCACGAAGAACCCCGAUUGCGAAGGCAGCUUACUAAACUGUGACUGACAUUGAUGCUCGAAAGUGUGGGUAUCAAACAGGAUUAGAUACCCUUGUAGUC
RNAcentral lists this ribosomal RNA (460 nucleotides) under uncultured bacterium. RNAcentral's name for it is "partial 16S ribosomal RNA". It matches the Rfam family "Bacterial small subunit ribosomal RNA", at positions 338 to 795 of the family's 1533-position model. The record is from RNAcentral.